UGGGGAAUAUUGCACAAUGGGCGCAAGCCUGAUGCAGCCAUGCCGCGUGUAUGAAGAAGGCCUUCGGGUUGUAAAGUACUUUCAGCGGGGAGGAAGGGAGUAAAGUUAAUACCUUUGCUCAUUGACGUUACCCGCAGAAGAAGCACCGGCUAACUCCGUGCCAGCAGCCGCGGUAAUACGGAGGGUGCAAGCGUUAAUCGGAAUUACUGGGCGUAAAGCGCACGCAGGCGGUUUGUUAAGUCAGAUGUGAAAUCCCCGGGCUCAACCUGGGAACUGCAUCUGAUACUGGCAAGCUUGAGUCUCGUAGAGGGGGGUAGAAUUCCAGGUGUAGCGGUGAAAUGCGUAGAGAUCUGGGGGAAUACCGGUGGCGAAGGCGGCCCCCUGGACAAAGACUGACGCUCAGGUGCGAAAGCGUGGGGAGCAAACAGG
RNAcentral lists this ribosomal RNA (429 nucleotides) under Chloroflexota bacterium. RNAcentral describes it as "Chloroflexi bacterium partial 16S ribosomal RNA". It matches the Rfam family "Bacterial small subunit ribosomal RNA", at positions 355 to 776 of the family's 1533-position model. Lineage: Bacteria; Bacillati; Chloroflexota. The record is from RNAcentral.